This 2900-nucleotide ribosomal RNA is filed under the name Clostridioides difficile. RNAcentral's name for it is "bacterial LSU rRNA". It matches the Rfam family "Bacterial large subunit ribosomal RNA". The record is from RNAcentral. Lineage: Bacteria; Bacillati; Bacillota; Clostridia; Peptostreptococcales; Peptostreptococcaceae.
UGGUCAAGUUAUUAAGGGUGCAGGGCGGAUGCCUUGGCACUAGGAGCCGAUGAAGGACGUGAUAAGCUGCGAUAAGCUUCGGGGAGUUGCACGUAAACUUUGAUCCGAAGAUUUCCGAAUGAGGAAACUCACUUAGAGUAAUGUCUAAGUAUCAUUAAGUGAAUACAUAGCUUAAUGAGGGGAACUCAGGGAACUGAAACAUCUAAGUACCUGAAGGAAGAGAAAGAAAUUCGAUUCCGUAAGUAGCGGCGAGCGAACGCGGAUUAGCCCAAACCAAUAAAGUUUUCUUUAUUGGGGUUGCGGACAUAUCAUAACGAAGAGGUAUCGUAAUUGAAGAGGUUUGGAAAGACCCACCACAGAAGGUAAUAGUCCUGUAUGUUAAACGAGAAGACUUCAGAUAUGAUCCAGAGUACCACGGGACACGUGAAACCCUGUGGGAAGCAGGAGGGACCACCCUCCAAGGCUAAAUACUACCUAGUGACCGAUAGCGUAUAGUACCGUGAGGGAAAGGUGAAAAGAACCCCGGGAGGGGAGUGAAAUAGAACCUGAAACCCUGCACUUACAAGCUGUGGAAGCACAUUUCUUGUGUGACCGCGUACUUUUUGUAGAACGGGCCAACGAGUUACGUUAAGUAGCAAGGUUAAGCACUUAAGGUGUGGAGCCGUAGCGAAAGCGAGUUUUAACUGAGCGUUCAGUUACUUGACGUAGACCCGAAACCGGGCGACCUACCCAUGAGCAGGAUGAAGCGAAAGUAAAAUUUCGUGGAGGUCCGAACCCACGAGCGUUGAAAAGCUCGGGGAUGACUUGUGGGUAGCGGUGAAAUUCCAAUCGAGCCCGGAGAUAGCUGGUUCUCCCCGAAAUAGCUUUAGGGCUAGCCUCAAGGUGAGAGAUACGGAGGUAGAGCACUGAAUGUCCUAGGGGGUAUUGCACCUACCGAAGACUAUCAAACUCCGAAUGCCGUCAUCUUAUACUUGGGAGUCAGACUGUGGGUGAUAAGAUUCAUAGUCGAAAGGGCAACAGCCCAGAUCGUCAGCUAAGGUCCCUAAAUGUAAGUUAAGUGGUAAAGGAUGUGGGAUUGCACAGACAACCAGGAUGUUGGCUUAGAAGCAGCCACUCAUUCAAAGAGUGCGUAAUAGCUCACUGGUCGAGUGAUCCUGCGCCGAAGAUUUCCGGGGCUAAAACUUACUACCGAAGCUACGGCAUCAGUAAUGAUGGGUAGGGGAGCUUCCCAUACGGGUUGAAGCAUGACCGUAAGGACAUGUGGACAGUAUGGGAGUGAGAAUGUUGGCAUGAGUAGCGAGAUGUGGGUGAGAAUCCCACAGGCCGUAAACCCAAGGUUUCCAGGGGAAGGUUCGUCCGCCCUGGGUUAGUCGGGACCUAAGCUGAGGCCGAAAGGCGUAGGUGAUGGACAACAGGUUGAUAUUCCUGUACUACCGAUAACCGUUUGAGAGAAGGGAUGACACAGUAGGAUAAGCUAAGCACACUGUUGGUUAUGUGUGCCCAAGCAUUGAGGCAGUCAAAGUAGGCAAAUCCGCUUUGAUAAUGCUGGGAUGUGAUGGGGAGCGAAAUUUAGUAGCGAAGUAGCUGAUUUCACACUGUCAAGAAAAGUCUCUAUCGAGGUUAAAGGUACCCGUACCGCAAACCGACACAGGUGGGUGAGGAGAGUAUCCUAAGGCCAGCGAGAGAACUGUUGUUAAGGAACUCGGCAAAAUGACCCCGUAACUUAGGGAUAAGGGGUGCCACCAUCAGGUGGCCGCAGAGAAUAGGCCCAAGCGACUGUUUACCAAAAACAUAGGUUUCUGCUAAGUCGCAAGACGAUGUAUAGGAGCUGACGCCUGCCCGGUGCUGGAAGGUUAAGGGGAUCUGUUAGAGCAAUCGAAGCAGUGAACUUAAGCCCCAGUAAACGGCGGCCGUAACUAUAACGGUCCUAAGGUAGCGAAAUUCCUUGUCGGGUAAGUUCCGACCCGCACGAAAGGCGUAACGAUUUGGGCACUGUCUCAACAACAGACUCGGUGAAAUUGUAAUUCCGGUGAAGAUGCCGGAUACCUGCGACAGGACGGAAAGACCCCAUGGAGCUUUACUGUAGCUUGACAUUGGGUCUUGGUACUACAUGUACAGGAUAGGUGGGAGGCUUUGAAACCAGGACGCCAGUUUUGGCGGAGCCAUCCUUGGGAUACCACCCUUGUAGUACUGGGACUCUAACCAUAGGCCAUGAAUCUGGUCUUGGGACACUGUCAGGUGGGCAGUUUGACUGGGGCGGUCGCCUCCCAAAAGGUAACGGAGGCGCUCAAAGGUUCUCUCAGUACGGUCGGAAAUCGUACGUAGAGUGUAAAGGCAAAAGAGAGCUUGAUUGCAAGACAUACAGGUCGAGCAAGGAUGAAAAUCGGACUUAGUGAUCCGGUGGUUCUGCGUGGAAGGGCCAUCGCUCAACGGAUAAAAGCUACCCUGGGGAUAACAGGCUUAUCUCCCCCAAGAGUCCACAUCGACGGGGAGGUUUGGCACCUCGAUGUCGGCUCAUCACAUCCUGGGGCUGUAGUAGGUCCCAAGGGUUGGGCUGUUCGCCCAUUAAAGUGGUACGCGAGCUGGGUUCAGAACGUCGUGAGACAGUUCGGUCCCUAUCCGUCGCAGGCGUAGGAAAUUUGAGAAGACCUGUCCUUAGUACGAGAGGACCGGGAUGGACGUACCUCUGGUGUACCAGUUGUUCUGCCAAGGGCAUGGCUGGGUAGCUAUGUACGGAAUGGAUAAGCGCUGAAAGCAUCUAAGCGCGAAGCCAACUUCAAGAUAAGAUUUCCCACCGCAAGGGUAAGACCCCAGAAAGACUAUCUGGUUGAUAGGUCGAAGGUGUAAGUGCAGCAAUGUAUUUAGCUUAUCGAUACUAAUAGGUCGAGGACUUGACCAAU